Molecule: transfer RNA, 73 nt
Filed under: Neotoma lepida (desert woodrat)
Lineage: Eukaryota; Metazoa; Chordata; Mammalia; Rodentia; Cricetidae
Rfam family: tRNA
About the family: Transfer RNA (tRNA) molecules are approximately 80 nucleotides in length. Their secondary structure includes four short double-helical elements and three loops (D, anti-codon, and T loops). Further hydrogen bonds mediate the characteristic L-shaped molecular structure. tRNAs have two regions of fundamental functional importance: the anti-codon, which is responsible for specific mRNA codon recognition, and the 3' end, to which the tRNAs corresponding amino acid is attached (by aminoacyl-tRNA synthetases). tRNAs cope with the degeneracy of the genetic code in two manners: having more than one tRNA (with a specific anti-codon) for a particular amino acid; and 'wobble' base-pairing, i.e. permitting non-standard base-pairing at the 3rd anti-codon position.
Source: Rfam by way of RNAcentral
GGAGUUGUAGCUCAGUUAGAAGAGCGCUUGCUUAGCAUGUGGGAAGUCCUGAGUUCAAUCCCCAGCACCACCU